RNAcentral lists this ribosomal RNA (447 nucleotides) under uncultured bacterium. RNAcentral describes it as "bacterial SSU rRNA". It matches the Rfam family "Bacterial small subunit ribosomal RNA", at positions 331 to 792 of the family's 1533-position model. The record is from RNAcentral.
CCAGACUCCUACGGGAGGCAGCAGUGGGGGAUAUUGGACAAUGGGGGGAACCCUGAUCCAGCGACGCCGCGUGAGUGAAGAAGUAUUUCGGUAUGUAAAGCUCUGUCAGCAGGGAAGAAGAAAGUGACGGUACCUGACCAAGAAGCCCCGGCUAACUACGUGCCAGCAGCCGCGGUAAUACGUAGGGGGCAAGCGUUAUCCGGAUUUACUGGGUGUAAAGGGAGCGUAGACGGCAGCACAAGUCUGGAGUGAAAUGCCGGGGCUUAACCCCGGAACUGCUUUGGAAACUGUGCAGCUAGAGUGCAGGAGAGGUAGGUGGAAUUCCUAGUGUAGCGGUGAAAUGCGUAGAUAUUAGGAGGAACACCAGUGGCGAAGGCGGCUUACUGGACUGUAACUGACGUUAAGGCUCGAGAGCGUGGGGAGCAAACAGGAUUAGAUACCCCGGUA